This 189-nucleotide unclassified non-coding RNA is filed under the name uncultured Rhizophydium. RNAcentral's name for it is "sequence contains ITS2". The record is from RNAcentral. Lineage: Eukaryota; Fungi; Chytridiomycota; Chytridiomycetes; Rhizophydiales; Rhizophydiaceae.
GUAUCUUUUCUCUGGUAUUUCUGGGGAAGAUUUGGGGCGUCUCUUUUGAGUGCCCUUAAAGCUAUAGCUUGACACUGCACGAGUGCGAGAGCGUAUGUAUUUGAAACUCUUGGAGUACCUGUACGAAACUCUGGCGCGAGCUCGGGCUGGGCCAAGUUCACCACGGAGGUUUGAAAAAGAACCCGAACC